CGGACGGGUGAGUAACACGUGGAUAACCUACCUAUAAGACUGGGAUAACUUCGGGAAACCGGAGCUAAUACCGGAUAAUAUAUUGAACCGCAUGGUUCAAUAGUGAAAGACGGUUUUGCUGUCACUUAUAGAUGGAUCCGCGCUGCAUUGGCUAGUUGGUAAGGUAACGGCUUACCAAGGCAACGAUGCGUAGCCGACCUGAGAGGGUGAUCGGCCACACUGGAACUGAGACACGGUCCAGACUCCUACGGGAGGCAGCAGUA
RNAcentral lists this ribosomal RNA (263 nucleotides) under uncultured Staphylococcus sp. Its description in RNAcentral is "partial 16S ribosomal RNA". It matches the Rfam family "Bacterial small subunit ribosomal RNA", at positions 99 to 355 of the family's 1533-position model. Lineage: Bacteria; Bacillati; Bacillota; Bacilli; Caryophanales; Staphylococcaceae. The record is from RNAcentral.